RNAcentral lists this ribosomal RNA (573 nucleotides) under fungal endophyte. RNAcentral describes it as "eukaryotic LSU rRNA". The stretch from base 221 to 374 matches the Rfam family "5.8S ribosomal RNA". The record is from RNAcentral. Lineage: Eukaryota; Fungi.
UAGAGGAAGUAAAAGUCGUAACAAGGUCUCCGUAGGUGAACCUGCGGAGGGAUCAUUAAUGAGAACUUGCCCUAGCGGGUAGAUCUCCCACCCUUUGUUUAUUAUACCUUUGUUGCUUUGCCAGGCCCGUCUCUCGGGGCCGCCGGCUCCGGCUGGCCAGCGCCUGGCAGAGACUCCAAACUCUUUUGUAUUUGUCGUCAGAGUACUAUAUAAUAGUUAAAACUUUCAACAACGGAUCUCUUGGUUCUGGCAUCGAUGAAGAACGCAGCGAAAUGCGAUAAGUAAUGUGAAUUGCAGAAUUCAGUGAAUCAUCGAAUCUUUGAACGCACAUUGCGCCCUCUGGUAUUCCGGGGGGCAUGCCUGUUCGAGCGUCAUUACAACCCUCAAGCCCAGCUUGGUGUUGGGAGCCACCCCAGCGGUGCUCCUCAAAGGCAGUGGCGGCGCCUCUCGGCUCUAAGCGUAGUAAUUCAUUCUCGCUCUGGGGACCUAGAGGUGGCUUGCCAGCAAUCCCAAAUCUAUCAAGGUUGACCUCGGAUCAGGUAGGGAUACCCGCCGAACUUAAGCAUAUCAUAG